Long non-coding RNA from Hippopotamus amphibius kiboko, 579 nucleotides. RefSeq lists it as uncharacterized. Lineage: Eukaryota; Metazoa; Chordata; Mammalia; Artiodactyla; Hippopotamidae. The record is from RefSeq and is a predicted model, not a curated record. The transcript has 3 exons.
CUCGCCGCGGCCGCUGCUUUCCGGCCCGUCGUAAACGGCGGGCGCCGCCUGCGCACCCUGGACGCGGCUCUGGGCGGGGCGCGGGGCGCGGGGGCGGGCCUUCGGGCGCCGCUGCUUCCUACGUGCACCUGGCUGUUUCUCUUAGGCGAAGUCAUCGUAUGGAGCACGAGGAUACAAGUUCCAUGAGAGAGGAAGCCUGUCUAUCGUUCACUCCUGCAUCCCAGAUUGUGGAACAGAGCCUGGCACAAGACAGGCGCUCAGUUCACCAAGAUGAUGUCAGUACAACUAGUGAGAUGCAGCACACCACCCUUUGCCUCCGGAAGAGAAACCAGACUGCAAAGGGGACUGAGUACAGAAGCCAACGGAACGCAGAAGAACAAGACAAAAAGCAGAAAUGGUUAGUGUGACUCAACAUUCUAACAUGCCUGUUACAUCAAAUACGGUCAUUUGGGGCUGUUUGGGGGAAGACAAACAAGGAAAAUUCAUUUGGGUACAAUGCGAUGGAGUUUGCAAACCAGUACUUUACCCCACAUCAACAACAGCUUGUAGAGAACAAAAUGCUAUUUGAAAACACAUGGU